Molecule: transfer RNA, 73 nt
Filed under: Mustela putorius furo (domestic ferret)
Lineage: Eukaryota; Metazoa; Chordata; Mammalia; Carnivora; Mustelidae
Rfam family: tRNA
About the family: Transfer RNA (tRNA) molecules are approximately 80 nucleotides in length. Their secondary structure includes four short double-helical elements and three loops (D, anti-codon, and T loops). Further hydrogen bonds mediate the characteristic L-shaped molecular structure. tRNAs have two regions of fundamental functional importance: the anti-codon, which is responsible for specific mRNA codon recognition, and the 3' end, to which the tRNAs corresponding amino acid is attached (by aminoacyl-tRNA synthetases). tRNAs cope with the degeneracy of the genetic code in two manners: having more than one tRNA (with a specific anti-codon) for a particular amino acid; and 'wobble' base-pairing, i.e. permitting non-standard base-pairing at the 3rd anti-codon position.
Source: Rfam by way of RNAcentral
ACCUGGCUGGCUAAGUUAGUAAAGCAUAUGUCUCUUGAUCUCAGGGUUGUGAGUUCAAGCCCCAUGUUGGGUG